Molecule: transfer RNA, 71 nt
Filed under: Stegodyphus mimosarum
Lineage: Eukaryota; Metazoa; Arthropoda; Arachnida; Araneae; Eresidae
Rfam family: tRNA
About the family: Transfer RNA (tRNA) molecules are approximately 80 nucleotides in length.
Source: Rfam by way of RNAcentral
GCCUUUAUGGUGUAACGGUAGCACACUCGGCCUGUAUUCGAGAAGUCCAGGUUCGAGUCCAAGCGAGGGCA